Molecule: ribosomal RNA, 497 nt
Filed under: uncultured bacterium
Lineage: Bacteria
Description: partial 16S ribosomal RNA
Rfam family: Bacterial small subunit ribosomal RNA
Source: RNAcentral
GAUGAACGCUGGCGGCGUGCCUAAUACAUGCAAGUCGAGCGAACGGACGAGAAGCUUGCUUCUCUGAUGUUAGCGGCGGACGGGUGAGUAACACGUGGAUAACCUACCUAUAAGACUGGGAUAACUUCGGGAAACCGGAGCUAAUACCGGAUGAUAUUUUGAACCGCAUGGUUCAAAAGUGAAAGACGGUCUUGCUGUCACUUAUAGAUGGAUCCGCGCUGCAUUAGCUAGUUGGUAAGGUAACGGCUUACCAAGGCAACGAUGCAUAGCCGACCUGAGAGGGGGUGGGCCAACACUGGAGCGGGGACCGGGCCAAGACUCAGCGGGGGGGGGCGAGAGGGAAUUCUCCGGGAAGGGGCGAAGGCCGGACGGGGCAACGCGGCGGGGGGAAAGAGGGUUUUGGUAUGGAAAACCUUUUUUAUGAGGAAAAAAAAUAUGUGAAAGUACCUGUGCACUUCUUGACGUUCCUUAACAAGAAAGCCAGGGCAAACUACGUG